ACUACGACUCUCGACAAUGGAUAUCUCGGCYCUCGCUUCGAUGAAGAACGUAGCGAAAUGCGAUACCUUGUGUGAAUUGCAGAAUCCCGUGAAUCAUCGAAUCUUUGAACGCAAGUUGCGCCCGAGGCCUAGGCUGAGGGCACGUCUGCCUGGGUGUCGUGAAA
This 164-nucleotide ribosomal RNA is filed under the name Gnetum leyboldii var. woodsonianum. RNAcentral's name for it is "5.8S ribosomal RNA". It matches the Rfam family "5.8S ribosomal RNA". From Rfam's summary of the family: 5.8S ribosomal RNA (5.8S rRNA) is a component of the large subunit of the eukaryotic ribosome. Lineage: Eukaryota; Viridiplantae; Streptophyta; Gnetopsida; Gnetales; Gnetaceae. The record is from RNAcentral.